This 460-nucleotide ribosomal RNA is filed under the name uncultured bacterium. RNAcentral's name for it is "partial 16S ribosomal RNA". It matches the Rfam family "Bacterial small subunit ribosomal RNA", at positions 338 to 795 of the family's 1533-position model. The record is from RNAcentral.
CCUACGGGUGGCAGCAGUGAGGAAUAUUGGUCAAUGGACGAGAGUCUGACCCAGCGACGUAGCGUGAAGGAUGACUGCCCUAUGGGCUGUAAACUUCUUUUAUAUGGGAAUAAAAUGUUCCACGUGUGGGAUUUUGUAUGUACCAUAUGAAUAAGGAACGGCUAACUCCGUGCCAGCAGCCGCGGUAAUACGGAGGAUCCGAGCGUUAUCCGGAUUUAUUGGGUUUAAAGGGAGCGUAGGUGGAUUGUUAAGUCAGUUGUGAAAGUUUGCGGCUCAACCGUAAAAUUGCAGUUGAAACUGGCAAUCUUGAGUACAGGAGAGGUGGGCGGAAUUCGUGGUGUAGGGGUGAAAUGCGUAGAUAUCACGAAGAACACCGAUGGCGAAGGCAGCUCACUGGACUGCAACUGACACUGAGGCGCGAAAGCGUGGGUAGCAAACAGGAUUAGAUACCCGUGUAGUC